This 401-nucleotide long non-coding RNA is filed under the name Phasianus colchicus (ring-necked pheasant). RNAcentral describes it as "lncRNA (ENSPCLG00000017556.1)". The record is from RNAcentral. Lineage: Eukaryota; Metazoa; Chordata; Aves; Galliformes; Phasianidae.
UAACCAUUGAUCCAGCAACAGGAAGUACCAAGCAUAGUCUGCCUUCUGGCCUUUCAAGAGGAAAGAACCACUCCUAAUUUAUGCAAUGCAAUUUGGAGUUUCAAAUUCAAACAUAUGUUGCCAUACUUUUGCUUUGGAUGAAUGAAUUGUAGGAACAACUGAGUGUGUGAGACCAACCAUAAGCCCCUCCUGAGGACAGUUUCACUAACCAAUACAGGCAGUCAAACACUGUGAGUCAAUAUCUUCUGCCUUCUUCCCCAUCCAUCUCCCAUAACAGGAGCAAAUUAAUCAGAAUUUAUUAAAAAGUUGCACUGAGUUCUCAUCACUUGCCUUUUGAUUUUUGAACAUAUUUUCCCACUUCCCUUCAAAAUACAUCACUUUCCUAAACGGCGAUUGUGGUA